GGGGGUACGUUAUUGGCCUAUUGGGCGUAAGCGCGCGCAGGUGGUUUCUUAAGUCUGAUGUGAAAGCCCACGGCUCAACCGUGGAGGGUCAUUGGAAACUGGGAGACUUGAGUGCAGAAGAGGAAAGUGGAAUUCCAUGUGUAGCGGUGAAAUGCGUAGAGAUAUGGAGGAACACCAGUGGCGAAGGCGACUUUCUGGUCUGUAACUGACACUGAGGCGCGAAAGCGUGGGGAGCAAACAGGAUUAGAUACCCUGGUAGUCCACGCCGUAAACGAUGAGUGCUAAGUGUUAGAGGGUUUCCGCCCUUUAGUGCUGAAGUUAACGCAUUAAGCACUCCGCCUGGGGAGUACGGCCGCAAGGCUGAAACUCAAAGGAAUUGACGGGGGCCCGCACAAGCGGUGGAGCAUGUGGUUUAAUUCGAAGCAACGCGAAGAACCUUACCAGGUCUUGACAUCCUCUGAAAACCCUAGAGAUAGGGCUUCUCCUUCGGGAGCAGAGUGACAGGUGGUGCAUGGUUGUCGUCAGCUCGUGUCGUGAGAUGUUGGGUUAAGUCCCGCAACGAGCGCAACCCUUGAUCUUAGUUGCCAUCAUUAAGUUGGGCACUCUAAGGUGACUGCCGGUGACAAACCGGAGGAAGGUGGGGAUGACGUCAAAUCAUCAUGCCCCUUAUGACCUGGGCUACACACGUGCUACAAUGGACGGUACAAAGAGCUGCAAGACCGCGAGGUGGAGCUAAUCUCAUAAAACCGUUCUCAGUUCGGAUUGUAGGCUGCAACUCGCCUACAUGAAGCUGGAAUCGCUAGUAAUCGCGGAUCAGCAUGCGCGGGGGGAAAAACCUUUCCCCGGGCCCUUGUACACACCCGCCCCGUCACACCACGAAGAGUUUGUAACACCCCGAAGUCCGGUGGGGGUAACCUUUUUUGGAGCCAGCCCGCCUAAGGUGGGACAGAUGAUUGGGGUGAUCAACAAAAGGCCC
RNAcentral lists this ribosomal RNA (976 nucleotides) under Bacillus cereus. RNAcentral's name for it is "bacterial SSU rRNA". It matches the Rfam family "Bacterial small subunit ribosomal RNA", at positions 532 to 1499 of the family's 1533-position model. The record is from RNAcentral. Lineage: Bacteria; Bacillati; Bacillota; Bacilli; Caryophanales; Bacillaceae.